Molecule: long non-coding RNA, 6966 nt
Filed under: Gossypium barbadense (sea-island cotton)
Lineage: Eukaryota; Viridiplantae; Streptophyta; Magnoliopsida; Malvales; Malvaceae
Description: long non-coding RNA (GBAR_LNC022198)
Source: RNAcentral
GAAAAUAGAAAGGAAUAGGGGGAACAGCAGUUGGGAUUGUGGGGACUGAGGGAAUGCUUGGCAGAGGGGGUAGUCCUGUUGGCAAUGUGGUAGGAAGUGGAGGAAGCGCCCCAGGCCAUGGGAAUGAUUGUCGGGAUGGCGUUGGGAGAUUAGAGAAAGAUGGUAAACUUCGCGGUUGAGGCUGCUGCAGAAGGUGACGAGCUGCUACCCCAACAUCAAUGCUUGCAAAUGACAAAGCAAUCAAGAAUGCUAAAGCAAGGCAAUUGAAAGAGGCCAUUUUUGUUCAGAGAUUUCGAAACAAAUGAAGCAGAUGAAACAAAGUUCUUUAUCUGAAUAGUUGUGGGUGAAGAAAACAAAGCACGGUAUUGAGGUUUAUAUAGGCAUUGGAGCAAUGAAUAGAAAUCCCCUGCCCCUAAACAAUGCCCCAUGCAUGCCCCCAAACCAAAAUAGCGCCACAUGUUUUUUAUUUUUUUCCAUUUUAGUUGUAGUUCAUUUUUUAAAUAAAAAUUUAUAAUGAUUUGGAUGAAUUUUUAACUUAUUAUCAACGUUUUUGUUUUUGUUUUAUUUUCUAUUAAUUUUACCUAUUCUUUAAUUAACAAAUUUAUAAUGACUUGGAAUUAAUUUAACAGUGUUUUUUUUUAUAAUCGUUCUUAUAAUAAAAUUUAAAAAGGUGGGAACGAGUCCCACAAUGACAACAUGAUCCAUGCCUUUAGUCAAAGGUUCAGAUAACAUCUGCUCAGUGUUAAUGUGCUCAAUGACGACUUUCUUUUCUUUAACAUAUUCCCUUAUGGCUAGAUACUUAAAAUCGAUAUGUUUACUUCGACUUUCACUUUUGUCGCUCUUAGCCAUAAAUACAGCAAUUGAAUUGUCACAAUAUAUGAAAUAAUCGAAACCUAUAAUGACUCAGCUCAAAAAACUCGAGCCUCAAACCCAAAUUAAAUUAAAUCAAAAUCAUAAUUUAUUAUAUACAAUUGCAUAAAAUUAACAUAAUUUAAGUGUCAUAGUGCACAUUAAAUUAAAGUUUAUGUUUGACAUUAUAGAUUGAAGCAAUAUUCAUGUGUAAAAUUUUGAGAUUUAUUUCCUUAAUGAAAGUAAUAUUUCAAAUAGAAUACUUGAACAAUCCUCCAUGUUGGCAAACUUUAUGUACAUUAGAAACGAACUAAAUAAUUAGAAUAAAUCUAAAGUAUGGCUUACAUUUAAUUUAUUCAUAAUGUGACUUAAACUUUGGCCUUCAAGAUUUCACGGUCUCAAAUUAUGUCUUAAAAUUUUAAGAUCAUUUUAGGUUUGUUAAAAACAUCAAUAGUUUAGAAAGUUAGAAUUGUUGCUUGAGGCGUGGAUUUCCCUAUUCUUUAGGAUAUUCGUGGAUUUACUAUCCCUCAAGAUUUAAUUUGUAUCAUGUGCAAUGAAAAAAUUGAAAAAGAAAAUUCCCAUUUGAAUGGAAUUGAGCUAUUAGGCUCAGGCCUCGUGUGCGCAUAUAUAUUCUCUUAUUUUGAGUCUUACAAGUUUAUAGUAAACCAAAUCUAUAUAAACAUCAUUUUAUAAGUGUAUCUAAGAUAUGUUUAAUAUGUGUAAUUCUUUAAAAUACAUGAAAACUUCAAAUGUGGUUUAGGUCAUUUUCAGAUUUGUCUUAUUUAGGUUCAAAUCAUUCGAAUUUGAGGCUAAGUUUUUCAUGUGUAAUCAUUAUUGAUCCGAAUCAUUUUAGAUUUUGAUCAUUUUAAGUUCUAAUUAUUUUGUGAUCAAAUCAUUUCAAGUUUAGAUAAAUUUGGGUCAAUUUUGAAUUUGACUUAAUUACGUAAUUAACCUUUUUUAUAAUAAAUUGAGCUGAAUGAACUUUAGAUUGGAAUUUAUUUAGUGUACCUUUGUGUUUAAGUUGAAAUUUAAACAUCUGUAUUAGAAAUACACAUGUUAAUACAAUUUUAUGUUAAAGACAAUAAUACGACAAAAUUAAUUUGGGAGAUAAACAUGUUAAUUUUUUAAUCCCAACCAAAAUUGUACAUAAUUGUUUUAUAUCAUAUUAAAUACAUGUAACGUCUUAUAAAAAUUGUCAAUAAAUUAUGCCUAGCGACAACGUUAUUCAAAUCUAAUUUCAUUGUUAAUACCUAUUUCUAUUUUUCUUCUAAUAUCUUCAACUUUAAAUAUAAAGGAAUUGAAAUUUUAAGAAUUGAGAUUUCUUUUCUUUAUAUUAGUGGACAUUUGAUUUUUUGUUUGAUUUUUUUUACUAGAAUUGAUGCAUAUCUUUUCAGAUUUAUCAAUAUUUUUUAAAAUUAUUUAAGAUAUGUAUAUAAAUAUAUUACAAAUAUAAAAUGAAUGAAACUAAAUACAUUUCAAAUAUAAAAUAUUCAUUAAUAAACUUAACAAAUAAAAAUUUAUCAUUCAAAGAAAUCCAAAAUUAUUAAUAAUAAUCCAUCAUUUAAUAUGAAAUUCUAAAGAUUUAGCUCAUUUACUUAAUAAAAGAAGGUGAAAGGUGGACGAAUAUUUUUUAUUUGAUAAUCAGGUAAAUGGUUUUUUCUUAAUUAUAUUUUGAAUGUGAAAGUAUAUUCCAUUUUUUUUUAAAAUUUACAUUCCGAUGUAGCGUUUUUAAUUAGUCACGUUUCAAUUAAGUUUUUAGCAUAAUAGUAAAUUAUUAAAAGUUUAAUAUUUUUAAUAUUAUUCAUGCAUAGGACGGUGCACUAUGUUCUGGCAGGUGUGACAGGAAUUGAUCGGAAUGAGUUGGUGCAAUUGGUACAGACCAAAAUUUUUACCAGUGUAGAAAAAGGGUUUUGGGUGUUUCGCAAUGUUAUUGAAACCAAACCAAACAGACCAAAAACCGAUGAACCCGAGAACUAGAGUAAACUGCAGUUAAACUGCAAAUCAUCAGCUGAUUAAGCCGCAUUUCGCAUUUUCUAGACUGGAAAACAAAAAUUUCACUUCAGAUCCCUUGAGCUUUUGUUACACUUCUUCUCUUAACUCAAAAUAAAACAAACCAUACAAAGAAUAAGCACUGUUUCUUUUAUUACUUUUUUAUUACUCAGUGAAAAACCUGGACUUAUAACAUUCAAUCAAAGGAAAAAAAAGACAAAUUAGGAAAGAUGAAAGAUGGGGAGAGGGUUUUAAAAUUCAAAGCCGUCAAAAUAGAUGAGUUUGGGGUUAUUAAUAUUAUUUUAUAUUGUUCAAUAGAAAAUUAAUUGUAUCGGUGGUUGAAUCUGUGAGAUCAAAAAUUAAUUAAUUGAUUAAUUUAAUUAUCAAUCUAAUUUUAAAAAUAUUAAUAUUUCGGUAUAAAAUUAAUACAGUGCACACAAAUUAAUAUAACCGAAAUCUGUACGAAACCGAGCACCUUAAUUUAAUACAUAAUUUGACAUUCAUAUAAAAUAUUAUCUUGGAAAUAUAUUGAAAGAGGAAAGUAAUCGUAUGUAAAUGGAUAACUUGGAAGAGAUAAUGAAGCAGGAAUCAUUAUAUUAACAGUGGCAUCUUCUCGAUGUACGGCGGCUCACUAUUUUGACUGCAUUUAUCGUUUGAUUCUUUUCUUAAUUAGCCAAACUCAUGUUAACAAUGGUAUAACAGUAAUUAAUUACUUCAUGGAUAGAACAUCAAUAUAUAAAUACCCCAUAUAUAAUAAGCAACAACGUUUCAAAAUACACCAAAUAAUGGGAAUUGGAGAACGCCCAUUUAUACAAACAAAUAUAAGUGGGCAAAAUCAAUACUCAUAAUAAAGACACAAAGACGACUAAAAACCUUAUUAAACUAGAUCCAGUAUGCAGCAUAACAGAAAAGGGGGUAUUUCAAGGAGUAGAGCGAGAAGGUGGUGGAGAAAAGAAAGGAAUAGAAGGAACUGCAGUUGGGAUUGAGGGAAUGCUUGGCAGAGGCGACAGUCCUCUUGGCAAUGUGGUAGGAAGUGGAGGAAGCGCCCCAGGGUUUGGGAGAUAAGGGAAAGAUGGCAAUGGUGGAAAAGAGAAAGGAAUAGGGGGAAUUGCAGUUGGGAUUGUGGGGACUGAGGGAAUGCUUGGCAGAGGGGGCAGUCCUGUUGGGAAUGUGGUAGGAAGUGGAGGAAGCGCCCCAGGCCAUGGGAAUGAUUGUCGGGAUGGCGUUGGGAGAUUAGGGAAAGAUGGUAAACUUUGCGGUUGAGGCUGCUGCAGAAGGUGACGAGCUGCUACCCCAACAUCAAUGCUUGCAAAUGACAAAGCAAUCAAGAAUGCUAAAGCAAGGAAAUUGAAAGAGGCCAUUUUUGUUCAGAGAUUUCGAAACAAAUGAAGCAGAUGAAACAAAGUUCUUUAUCUGAAUAGUUGUGGGUGAAGAAAACAAAGCAUGGUAUUGAGGUUUAUAUAGGCAUUGGAGCAGUGAAUAGAAAUCCCCUGCCCCUAAACAAUGCUCCAUGCAUGCCCCCAAACCAAAAUAGCUCCACAUGUUUUUUAUUUUUUUCAUUUUAAUUUUUUAAAAUAAAAACUCUGUAAUGAUUUGAAUUAAUUUUUAACUUAUUAUCAACGUUUUUAUUUUUGUUUUAUUUUUAUUUUACAUUAAUUUUACCUAUUCUUUAAUUAACAAAUUUAUAAUGACUUAGAGUUAAUUUGAGAGAUUUUUUUUUUAUAAUUGGUCUUAUAAUAAAAUUUUACAAAGCAGAAACAAGUUCCACUGUGAAAACAUGAUCCUUAAAUUUUUGGAGAUAACCAUGUUAAUUUUUUAAUCCCAACCAAAAUUCUAAAUAAUUCUUUUAUGUCAUAUUAAAUACACGUAACGUCUUAUAAAAAUUGUCAAUAAAUUAUGCAUAGUGACAAGGUUAUUCAAAUCUAAUUUCAUUGUUAAUACCUAUUUCUAUUUUUCUUCUACUGUCUUCAACUUUAAAUAUAAAGGGAUUGAAAUUUUAAGAAUUGAGAUUUCUUUUCUCUGUAUUAGUGGACGUUUGAUUUUUUAUUUUAUUUUUUUAUUGGAAUUGAUACAUAUCUUUUCAGAUUUAUCAAUAUAUUUUAAAAUUUUAUAAGAUAUGUAUAUAAAUAUAUUAAAAAUAUAAAAUGAAUGAAACUAAAUACAUUUCACAUAUAAAAUAUUCAUUAAUCAACUUAAGAAAUAAAAAUUUAUCAUUCAAAUAAUCCAAAAUUAUUACUAAUAAUCUCAUUUAAUAUGAAAUUUUAAGGAUUUAGCUCAUUUACUUAAUAAAAGUAGUUGAAAGGUGAAUGAAUAUUUUUUUUAUAAUCGGGUGAAUGGUUUUUUUCUUAAUUAUAUUUUUAAUGUGAAAGUAUAUUCUAAUUUUUUUUAAAAACUUUACAUUCCGAUGUAGCAUUUUUAAUUAGUCACGUUUCAAUUAAGUUUUUAGCAUAAUAGAAAAUAAUUAAAAGUUUAAUAUUUUUAAUAUUAUUCAUGCGCAGGACGGUGCACUAUGUUCUGGCAGGUGUGACUGGAAUUGAUCGGAAUGAGUUGGUGCAAUUGGUACGGACCGAAAUUUUUACCAGUGUAGAAAAAGGGUGUUGGGUGUUUCACAAUAUUAUUGAAAGCAAACCAAAAAGACCAAGAACCGAUGAACCCGAGAACUAGAGUAAACUGCAGUUAAACUACAAAUCAUCUGUCGAUUAAGUCGUAUUUUCACAUUCUUUAAACCGGAAAAACAAAAAUUACACUUCAAAUCCCUUGAGCCAUUGUUAUACUUUUUCUCUGCACUCAAUGAAAUAAAACACAACAUAAAAAAAAUAAGCACCAUCUCUUUUAUUACUUUUACUACUAAAAUAACUUUUUUUUUCUUGUGAAAAACCUAAGAUGGACUUAUAACAUAUAAUAAAAAGGGAAAAAAAAGACAAAUUAGGAAAGAUGAAAGAUGGGGAGAGGGUUUUAAAAUUCAAAGCCGUCAAAAUAGAUGAGUUUGGGGUUAUUAGUAUUAUUUUAUAUUGUUCAAUAGAAAAUUAAUUGUAUCGGUGGUUGAACCUGUGAGAUCAAAAAUUAAUUAAUUGAUUAAUUUAAUUAUCGAUCUAAUUUUAAAAAUAUUAAUAUUUCGGUAUAAAAUUAAUACAGUGCACACAAAUUAAUAUAACCGAAAUCUGUACGAAACCGAGCACCUUAAUUUAAUACAUAAUUUGACAUUCAUAUAAAAUAUUAUCUUGGAAAUAUAUUGAAAGAGGAAAGUAAUCGUAUGUAAAUGGAUAACUUGGAAGAUAUAAUGAAGCAGGAAUCAUUAUAUUAACAGUGGCAUCUUCUCGAUGUACGACUGCUCACUAUUUUGACUGCAUUUAUCGUUUGAUUCUUUUCUUAAUUAGCCAAACUCAUGUUAACAAUGGUAUAACAGUAAUUAAUUACUUCAUGGACAGAACAUCAAUAUAUAAAUACCCCAUAUAUAAUAAGCAACAACGUAUCAAAAUACACCAAAUAAUGGGAAUUGGAGAACGCCCAUUUAUACAAACAAAUAUAAGUGGGCAAAAUCAAUACUCAUAAUAAAGACACAAAGACGAUUAAAAGCCUUAUUAAACUAGAUCCAGUAUGCAGCAUAACAGAAAAUGGGGUAUUUCAAGGAGUAGAGCGAGAAGGUGGUGGAGAAAAGAAAGGAAUAGAGGGAACUGCAGUUGGGAUUGAGGGAAUGCUUGGCAGAGGCGGCAGUCCUCUUGGCAAUGUGGUAGGAAGUGGAGGAAGCGCCCCAGGGUUUGGGAGAUAAGGGAAAGAUGGCAAUGGUGGAAAAGAGAAAGGAAUAGGGGGAACUGCAGUUGGGAUUGUGGGGACUGAGGGAAUGCUUGGCAGGGGGGGUAGUCCUGUUGGCAAUGUGGUAGGAAGUGGAGGAAGCGCCCCAGGCCAUGGGAAUGAUUGUCGGGAUGGAGUUGGGAGAUUAGGGAAAGAUGGUAAACUUUGCGGUUGAGGCUGCUGCAGAAGGUGACGAGCUGCUACCCCAACAUCAAUGCUUGCAAAUGACAAAGCAAUCAAGAAUGCUAAAGCAAGGCAAUUGAAAGAGGCCAUUUUUGUUGAGAGAUUUCGAAACAAAUGAAGCAGAUGAAACAAAGUUCUUUAUCUAAAUAGUUG